This 460-nucleotide ribosomal RNA is filed under the name uncultured bacterium. RNAcentral's name for it is "partial 16S ribosomal RNA". It matches the Rfam family "Bacterial small subunit ribosomal RNA", at positions 338 to 795 of the family's 1533-position model. The record is from RNAcentral.
CCUACGGGAGGCAGCAGUGAGGAAUAUUGGUCAAUGGACGCAAGUCCGAACCAGCCAUGCCGCGUGAAGGAAGACGGCUCUAUGAGUUGUAAACUGCUUUUGUACGAGGGUAAACGCAGAUACGUGUAUCUGUUUGAAAGUAUCGUACGAAUAAGGAUCGGCUAACCCCGUGCCAGCAGCCGCGGUAAUACGGAGGAUUCAAGCGUUAUCCGGAUUUAUUGGGUUUAAAGGGUGCGUAGGCGGGCGGUUAAGUUUGAGGUGAAAUCCCGAGGCUCAACUUCGGAAUUGCCUCUGAUACUGGUCGGCGAGAGAGUAGUUGCGGUAGGCGGAAUGUGUGGUGUAGCGGUGAAAUGCUUAGAGAUCAGACAGAACACCGAUUGCGAAGGCAGCUUACCAAGCUACUUCUGACGUUGAGGCACGAAAGCGUGGGGAGCAAACAGGAUUAGAUACCCCAGUAGUC